UAAUCCUCAUGUCAUAUCCACCUGAAAAAUCACGUAACUGAUAUUUUUGGAAGAAAUGUCGAUUGUUACUUGACGUUAGUAACAUUCACCUGAAAUUCACGUCACAAUUACUAAAAAAAAUAGGUGAAUAUAACUGUGUGUGUAUGUACACAAUUUGAAUGAGUUUGUGUUAGUGUUACAGCUUGCGUUACGUGAUAUUCACGUAAGAAAAAAAAUCAAAAUGGCGUCGAGUGCGGAUUUAAUAAAUAACCUUCUGACGGAUUUGCAAUUUCCACGCAAUUUACUGCAAAAAUUGGACGUUUUAGAUUCUGGAAUAGGUAUACUAAGCCUUAUAACUAUUUCUGAAGAACAGUUAAGAGAUUAUUUGCGACUUUUGGAUCUGGACGACACUGAUUUCGAUUCAUCAUACUACUACGAGCUCUUGCAGUCCUGGAGAGUUCGAAAUAAGCCAGCUAUACAGCGCUUAGUGAGUUGGUGCAUAUACAAAGAUUUUGCAGCGGAACCACCUGCAACCUCGAAGGAAAUCAUUGAC
This is a long non-coding RNA of Armigeres subalbatus, 532 nucleotides long. RefSeq lists it as uncharacterized. The record is from RefSeq and is a predicted model, not a curated record. The transcript is spliced from 3 exons. NCBI's taxonomy places the organism in Eukaryota, Metazoa, Arthropoda, Insecta, Diptera, Culicidae.